AACGAACGCUGGCGGCAUGCCUAACACAUGCAAGUCGAACGAGACCUUCGGGUCCAGUGGCGCACGGGUGCGUAACGCGUGGGAACCUGCCCUUAGGUUCGGAAUAACUCCCCGAAAGGGGUGCUAAUACCGGAUAAUGUCUUCGGACCAAAGAUUUAUCGCCUUUGGAUGGGCCCGCGUUGGAUUAGCUAGUUGGUAGGGUAAAAGCCUACCAAGGCGACGAUCCAUAGCUGGUCUGAGAGGAUGAUCAGCCACACUGGGACUGAGACACGGCCCAGACUCCUACGGGAAGCAGCAGUGGGGAAUAUUGGACAAUGGGCGAAAGCCUGAUCCAGCAAUGCCGCGUGAGUGAUGAAGGCCUUAGGGUUGUAAAGCUCUUUUACCCGGGAUGAUAAUGACAGUACCGGGAGAAUAAGCUCCGGCUAACUCCGUG
This 433-nucleotide ribosomal RNA is filed under the name uncultured bacterium. RNAcentral's name for it is "partial 16S ribosomal RNA". It matches the Rfam family "Bacterial small subunit ribosomal RNA", at positions 29 to 507 of the family's 1533-position model. The record is from RNAcentral.